UAGCAGUAACUGUUUUGGUCACCCAGCCA
This 29-nucleotide non-coding RNA is filed under the name Mus musculus (house mouse). Lineage: Eukaryota; Metazoa; Chordata; Mammalia; Rodentia; Muridae. The record is from RNAcentral.